Molecule: long non-coding RNA, 592 nt
Organism: Nicotiana attenuata
Lineage: Eukaryota; Viridiplantae; Streptophyta; Magnoliopsida; Solanales; Solanaceae
Exons: 3
Source: RefSeq, a predicted model, not a curated record
UCGUGAGUGAAAUCAAGGUCAACGUUUGCAUAUAUGGUUUUUAUAUCUUGUAUCUUAAUGGACAACCACUUCUUUAAGAGCAACUUAACGUUUGCAGAAGCUCCAAUAAAUGUGUUUCUUGUUCAACAUUUUGGGGGUCAACUGCCACCUAGUUUUUCCAACUCUCUAAUCACUCAGGUGCAGAUUCACCUGGAAUCAAGGAAGGUUGUGGACAAGCUUGAAUAAAGGUAUUGAGAAAUUGAGAAAUCUUUGGGAGAAAAGAUGAUGUAGAGAUCCUAGUUGGUAAAUGGAGGUCAAUCAAAGCAAUUCCAUCAGCAGUAUCUAUCAAAUGAGUCGGGAAAUUUUCUUUCGCUUCCAAAACAAGUGGAAAGAACUCACAAGAAAGGAGAUCGAUGCAACAGUGAUUUGAUUAUGUUGCACUAUUUUAGACAAUCAUAUUUUUAUUGUAGGACAUUAGUUCAUCAUAAAUGUGACAAAAAAUAGACUUUGCCUAGAAUUUCCUUAUCAAUAAUAUAAUAUUUUCUUUGACAAUGAAUUAUCUUUGUAUUUUGGACAAUUGUAAUUGUCAAUAAUCAUGAUGAUUUUGUAGUAA